Molecule: unclassified non-coding RNA, 391 nt
Filed under: soil metagenome
Description: partial contains 5.8S ribosomal RNA, internal transcribed spacer 2, and large subunit ribosomal RNA
Rfam family: 5.8S ribosomal RNA (bases 1-122)
Source: RNAcentral
GAUGAAGAACGAAGUGAAAUGCGACACUUGGUGUGAAUUGCAGAAUCCCGCGAAUCAUCGAGUUUUUGAACGCAAGUUGCGCCCGAAGCCAUUCGGCCGAGGGCACGUCUGCCUGGGUGUCACGCAUCGUUGCCCCCCCCAAACUUCGGUUCGGGCGGGGCGGAAGUUGGCCUCCCGUGCGUGCCUGCGCGCGCGGUUAGCCCAAAAGCGAGUCCUCGGCGACGAGCGCCACGACAAUCGGUGGUUUUUUUACCCUCGUUCCUCGUCGUGCGUGCCCCGUCGCCCGAACGCGCUCUUGCGACCCUCACGCGUCGCCUCGGCGGCGCUCCCAACGCGACCCCAGGUCAGGUGGGACUACCCGCUGAGUUUAAGCAUAUCAAUAAGCGGAGGA